This 189-nucleotide non-coding RNA is filed under the name unclassified sequences. Its description in RNAcentral is "RT-2 RNA". It matches the Rfam family "RT-2 RNA", at positions 40 to 222 of the family's 222-position model. Rfam says of the family: Coriobacteriales (Actinobacteria), Clostridiales (Firmicutes). The record is from Rfam by way of RNAcentral.
GCCGUCAACAGACGGCAAAUAUUAGCCUUGAUAUGUCUGGGUGGACGCUUCUUGCAUGACCGUUGACUGCGUUAGACGGUUUCAUACCCAGUGGCAUUACGCGGUAUAUCACGCAAACCGGAUUGCGCCAAGGUUUACCAAAGCAAUGUCCGUAUACCGUACAAGGUGUUUUUAGCAAUUUUAUUUUUA